This 232-nucleotide unclassified non-coding RNA is filed under the name Hevea brasiliensis (rubber tree). The record is from RNAcentral. Lineage: Eukaryota; Viridiplantae; Streptophyta; Magnoliopsida; Malpighiales; Euphorbiaceae.
GGCUGUUGAGAAAGAUUAUUUGUGGUAUAAACUGAUACUUAAUAUCAAUUGAGCUGCUGAAGAAACGAGCAUUGAAAUAACUUAAAAUAAUUCCAAGAUUCAUCUGGGCCACACCCAACAAAAUAGACAUCUUCAUCUUCAGAGAAUUCAAAAAAGGAAGCUCUGAACGGCUGCCUCUCCAGCUUGGAUCCACGCCAAAUGGAUAUGGAUCCUUGUAUUUUAUUAAACCAAC